CGGCCGCGUCGACCGAACGCUGGCGGCGUGCCUAAUACAUGCAAGUCGAGCGGAACCUUUGGAGCUUGCUCCAUUGGUUUAGCGGCGGACGGGUGAGUAACACGUGGGCAACCUGCCCUGCAGAUCGGGAUAACUCCGGGAAACCGGUGCUAUACCGAAUAGUUUGCGGCCUCUCCUGAGGCUGCACGGAAAGACGGUUUCGGCUGUCACUGCAGGAUGGGCCCGCGGCGCAUUAGCUAGUUGGUGGGGUAAUGGCCCACCAAGGCGACGAUGCGUAGCCGACCUGAGAGGGUGAUCGGCCACACUGGGACUGAGACACGGCCCAGACUCCUACGGGAGGCAGCAGUAGGGAAUCUUCCGCAAUGGACGAAAGUCUGACGGAGCAACGCCGCGUGAGUGACGAAGGUUUUCGGAUCGUAAAACUCUGUUGUGAGGGAAGAACAAGUACCAAUUAACUACUGGUACCUUGACGGUACCUCACCAGAAAGCCACGGCUAACUACGUGCCAGCAGCCGCGGUAAUACGUAGGUGGCAAGCGUUGUCCGGUAA
Molecule: ribosomal RNA, 549 nt
Filed under: uncultured bacterium
Lineage: Bacteria
Description: bacterial SSU rRNA
Rfam family: Bacterial small subunit ribosomal RNA
Source: RNAcentral